UUAUGUCGGAAGAAAUCCCUAUGCAUUUCCUUCUCUGAUUAUUUUAUCCUCCCACAAACCUGCAAAACCCAUCUCUCUUCUCCGUUCGAACUCUGGCGACCUCUGACCGUUCCGGUCGUUCUGACGACAGCCCACACCGCCCACUCGACAUCAGCUCACGUAUCUCUAGCUUGAAACCCAACUUCUUCCUCUCAGCCGUCGAUCUACCGUCGCUGAUUCUUGAAGAUCUUUCUCCUAUUUUCUUGCACCCUUAGACUCUCAACUCUUCAGCCGCACUCAGCCUCUCACCUCUCAUUCACUCACACUCGAACUCACCCCACGAACAAGAUCUGAAAAGUGAAAAUCGAAGAUCCAGAUCUGUGAGACUAAAUCGAAGAUCCAAUAAUCAAAACAAGAUCUGAAAAUCGAAGAUCCAAGGUUUCAUAUGGUGCCUUGAAAGUUGGAAGGAUGGAUUGGAAUCUAAUGCUUGGAUUUGGAAGAUUAUGUUUUUAUUUUGACUUUUAAAACAAUGUUUUGCGUUAUUUUGGACAUGUUAUGUGAUUUAGAACAAUGGAUUGUGUUGGUUUGUUUUUUUUAACAUUAGAUCUUCAAUU
Molecule: long non-coding RNA, 593 nt
Organism: Helianthus annuus (common sunflower)
Lineage: Eukaryota; Viridiplantae; Streptophyta; Magnoliopsida; Asterales; Asteraceae
Exons: 3
Source: RefSeq, a predicted model, not a curated record